Molecule: unclassified non-coding RNA, 400 nt
Filed under: uncultured fungus
Lineage: Eukaryota; Fungi
Description: sequence contains ITS1
Source: RNAcentral
GGACUACUGGGGUAUCUAAUCCUGUUUGCUACCCAUGCUUUCGAGCCUCAGCGUCAGUUGGUGCCCAGUAGGUCGCCUUCGCCACUGGUGUUCCUCCCGAUAUCUACGCAUUCCACCGCUACACCGGGAAUUCCACCUACCUCUGCACUACUCAAGGCCAGCAGUUUUGAAAGCAAUUUAUGGGUUGAGCCCAUAGUUUUCACUUCCAACUUGCCGGUCCGCCUGCGCUCCCUUUACACCCAGUAAUUCCGGACAACGCUUGCACCCUACGUUUUACCGCGGCUGCUGGCACGUAGUUAGCCGGUGCUUUCUUGUUAGGUACCGUCAUUAUCGUCCCUAACGACAGGAGUUUACAAUCCGAAAACCUUCUUCCUCCACGCGGCGUCGCUGCAUCAGGGUU